UCAUGCUGGGAUGCCCAAAAUAGAGGCGCUUUUCUUUUGUCUGUAGUGGAAAGUGCUUCCAUUUUGGGGAAUUCCUGUGUGA
Molecule: microRNA precursor, 82 nt
Filed under: Callithrix jacchus (white-tufted-ear marmoset)
Lineage: Eukaryota; Metazoa; Chordata; Mammalia; Primates; Cebidae
Description: microRNA cja-mir-373 precursor
Gene: cja-mir-373
Rfam family: mir-290 microRNA precursor family
Source: miRBase by way of RNAcentral